This 255-nucleotide ribosomal RNA is filed under the name uncultured bacterium. RNAcentral describes it as "partial 16S ribosomal RNA". It matches the Rfam family "Bacterial small subunit ribosomal RNA", at positions 99 to 354 of the family's 1533-position model. The record is from RNAcentral.
CGAACGGGUGAGUAACGCGUGGAUAACCUGCCGUAUACUGGGGGAUAACACUUAGAAAUAGGUGCUAAUACCGCAUAAGCGCACAGUCUCGCAUGAGACGGUGUGAAAAACUCCGGUGGUAUACGAUGGAUCCGCGUCUGAUUAGCUUGUUGGCGGGGUAACAGCCCACCAAGGCGACGAUCAGUAGCCGGCCUGAGAGGGUGAACGGCCACAUUGGGACUGAGACACGGCCCAAACUCCUACGGAAGGCAGCAG